GCUUUCCUGCUGCUCAGUUGGUAGAGCAUUGCACUAACAACACAACGGUCAUGGGAUCAAAUCCCAGGGAAAGCA
Molecule: transfer RNA, 75 nt
Filed under: Danionella translucida
Lineage: Eukaryota; Metazoa; Chordata; Actinopteri; Cypriniformes; Danionidae
Also listed under: 1 other name
Rfam family: tRNA
About the family: Transfer RNA (tRNA) molecules are approximately 80 nucleotides in length. Their secondary structure includes four short double-helical elements and three loops (D, anti-codon, and T loops). Further hydrogen bonds mediate the characteristic L-shaped molecular structure. tRNAs have two regions of fundamental functional importance: the anti-codon, which is responsible for specific mRNA codon recognition, and the 3' end, to which the tRNAs corresponding amino acid is attached (by aminoacyl-tRNA synthetases). tRNAs cope with the degeneracy of the genetic code in two manners: having more than one tRNA (with a specific anti-codon) for a particular amino acid; and 'wobble' base-pairing, i.e. permitting non-standard base-pairing at the 3rd anti-codon position.
Source: Rfam by way of RNAcentral